CUGAAGCUCGUGAGUUUUGGAGUAACUAACAUUCUGGAGGAGCUCACUUUAAGUCGACCGUUAGUCAAGUACGUAGGGAAGGAUGAAGAUAGCAAGCCUGAGUAUGGAUGCAGGGAUCUCGGACAUUCUUCAAUUAUCUUCCCCACUUCACGAUCGCAACUUAUUCUAAAAGGAUGGAACGAUGGCAACCUUAAUCUAAGAUUUCAACUGAAAACUGUGCAGCGCAACGCUAUCCUCCUUCUGGUUGCGAUUCAAGAUGAGAAUGACAUUGGGGGAAAAAUCAGUCUUCACUUGCUUGACAACAGAGUGCAAGGCGUAUUGGAAUUAGGAAAAGAAAAUGACCUUAUUACAUACACCAUGGUUGUUGGAGAACACUUGAAUAAUACCAUGUGACACACAGUGGAAUUUUCAAUUAUGGAAGGUUCUGCAACUUCAACAGUGGAUGCAGCGAAGACAAGCUUUCAGAUUACAAACCACACAUUGACCCCCACCAGUGACCUCUAUCUCGGUGGAGGUUGGACUAACACAGGUCAAGGUUUUGAAGGCUGCAUGCAAGAAAUCACGUUUCAGGCUGCUAUAAUUUAUCCAAACGAGAUUACGAAUACAAACAUGGUGAAUGGAGUUACGAUCGGAUCAUGCCAAGUUACGGAUCCUUGCCUUACGUCUGACCUAGCCUGUGA
This is a long non-coding RNA of Anneissia japonica, 680 nucleotides long. RefSeq lists it as uncharacterized. The transcript has 5 exons. Lineage: Eukaryota; Metazoa; Echinodermata; Crinoidea; Comatulida; Comatulidae. The record is from RefSeq and is a predicted model, not a curated record.